Molecule: ribosomal RNA, 424 nt
Filed under: uncultured bacterium
Lineage: Bacteria
Description: bacterial SSU rRNA
Rfam family: Bacterial small subunit ribosomal RNA
Source: RNAcentral
GGGGAAUAUUGGACAAUGGGCGAAAGCCUGAUCCAGCAAUACCGCGUGUGUGAAGAAGGCCUGAGGGUUGUAAAGCACUUUCAAUAGGAAGGAAUACCUAUCGGUUAAUACCCGAUAGACUGACAUUACCUAUACAAGAAGCACCGGCUAACUCCGUGCCAGCAGCCGCGGUAAUACGGAGGGUGCAAGCGUUAAUCGGAAUUACUGGGCGUAAAGCGUGCGUAGGCGGUUUUUUAAGUCAGAUGUGAAAGCCCUGGGCUUAACCUGGGAACUGCAUUUGAUACUGGAAGACUAGAGUUGAGUAGAGGAGAGUGGAAUUUCAGGUGUAGCGGUGAAAUGCGUAGAGAUCUGAAGGAACACCAGUGGCGAAGGCGGCUCUCUGGACUCAAACUGACGCUGAGGUACGAAAGCGUGGGUAGCAAAC